Molecule: long non-coding RNA, 1038 nt
Filed under: Homo sapiens (human)
Lineage: Eukaryota; Metazoa; Chordata; Mammalia; Primates; Hominidae
Description: long intergenic non-protein coding RNA 964
Source: RNAcentral
AGGCCAGGUGCGGUGGCUCAUGUCUGUAAUCCCAGCACUUUGGGAGGCCAAGGCGAGUGGAUCACCUGAGGUCAGGAGUUCGAGACCAGCCUGACCAACAUGGCAAAACCCCGUCUGUACUAAAAGUGCAAACACAAAGGGAACUGCGUGGCUUGUUUCUACCUGAACAUUGUCAAGUGAUUUCAUCCUUUGAAACACAGUUGUGAAGUGUGUCCAGCAGUCUGAGAACAAGAAGAAGAAGAAAAUCUAAUCCUUCAGGGUGUCUGUGUGCCAGCCCUGCUCUCAGCACUUCCCAUGUGGAACUCCUUUACUUCUCCUAACAACUCCAUGACAUGGGUUAGACUGUGAUUGUUCCCAUAUUGUUGGUAGGGAAACUGAGGCAUGCAGGUGUUACAGAGCUCUCUCAAGUGGCAAGCUUUCUGGGUGGUUACAGAGUGGCAGAGCUGGGGUAUCCCAUGAUGUCACCACACUGCUAUAUGGAAAAGAACAUUAAUCGAGCACCUACGUGCUUGAUUCUCUUAAUUCUGUGACUGAACUCUCAAAACACCCUGGGGUUGCCGUGAGGAGUAAAUGAGCUGUUGCAUGGGAAGCACUUAGCAUGGGGCCUGAUAAAUAGUAAGCCCUUGGUAAUAAUUACAUCUUCCGUGAUGCUAGACACAGAGGGAUUGAAAUGCAUAACAAUAGAGAUGAAACACGAAGAGUGAUAAAUGAAGAUUGAGUGUGCACACCUUCUGGAGGAGCCCUGAUUGAGUAUUUUAAAAUACUACUAAAGUCAUGCCGUGUGACUUCUGAAGCUAGCUCCUAAGAAGUCCUUGCAGCUUCUGCCUGCGACUCUUAGAACACUUGCUUUGAAGGAUGCCAGAUGCUGUCUUAAAAGUCUGAGCACUCUGAAACCAUCAUGCUGUGAGGAAGCCCAAGCUAACCACAUGGGCAAAAAAGAUGCCCUCUGACUGCCACCAUUUGAGACACUCUAAUUAAGAACUGCCUCAUUGAGCCCAUGAGGCCCUGUGAAUGAUAAUAAUAAAUUGUUUUUAACCA